Molecule: long non-coding RNA, 360 nt
Organism: Ochotona curzoniae (black-lipped pika)
Lineage: Eukaryota; Metazoa; Chordata; Mammalia; Lagomorpha; Ochotonidae
Exons: 3
Source: RefSeq, a predicted model, not a curated record
AGUUCACGAGAGCCGGGGCGGGCGGCCCAUUGUCCGAUGGCGGCGGCGGGACGCGGAAGACCCAAAUGAAACAGUUCUAUCCCAGGAAAACUGCUGUUCUGAUCGACAGGUGGAAGGACAGACUUAUACCAGCUACGAUUCGGACCCGGGCACUGACAUGGGAUUCAGGCAUCCCAGGAAGUGAUCUAACUGCUAUGCUAAACACCUGCCUCAUCUUGUAAUUUUAGUACUGCUGGGUGGUACUACCCCCAUGCUGCUGAGGAACACACAAGGAACCUGAGAGAGGAAUCGGACAUGUCCCAGGACAUUACCAGGCCCAAGAUGAGACUCCAACUCUGGUUCCUAAGAGGACCGACUAGA